Molecule: long non-coding RNA, 1714 nt
Filed under: Eucalyptus grandis
Lineage: Eukaryota; Viridiplantae; Streptophyta; Magnoliopsida; Myrtales; Myrtaceae
Description: long non-coding RNA (EGRA_LNC002228)
Source: RNAcentral
CAAAAUUUUCAGAAUUGAUAUAUCAACUUUGCAAGUGGUUUUCAUAUAGCAAAUGACCUUCAUACGACACGUGCCAUACACCGUUUCAAAGCUCAUGACGUUUUUUAAGUAUCUCUAAAAGGCAUCAUGUAAAAAUUAUGCUCUUAAGGACCCAAUGGAAGACAUCUUCAUAAAGACAGAUCAUUCAUUAUUGCAGCAAGAAUUGGAUGAUCUUCCUUGAUCUAAUUACAUGAUAAAAACCUACAAAAAUUCAUGCAUAUAGAUUGAAAUGUCCAAAUCAUUUCCAGCAUCGAAGUCCAAUUUGGCUCAUAAAAAUCUAUAUGAAAAUAGGAAAACAGAACAAAACUUCCAACAUCACAGAUUGCAGCAACCAAGCAUAAUUUCAUGCAAGCAAAUGACCUAGUUAACGACAACCGUUUGACAUGAUCUAUAUCUGCACUAUGACUUUCCUGGAGGAUGUAAAUUCAACGGAGUAUGUUUACUAGUUCAUUUAUAGACAAAUACACAUCGGGUUCAAACAGGACAAAACAAUCUAAGGACAAUUUAUUAGAGAUUUCCUUGACUAAAUCUACUCCAAAAAAUCUGGAAAAAUAUAUGUCGUGACCAGAGCAAUUUCGACCAACUUUCAUGAAAUAAUUUUAACCAUAAAAUCAGAGCACAAAAACCAGCAAAAAAUCAACAAACAAUGCAGACCGCGAAUCAACAAAACAACAUAACAUUUGGUAGAUUUUGGACUCAACUUUGAGUAUAUGAAAACUAUAUCAAAGGAGCCCUGUUUAGGGUGUUCUAUGGCUUGUGAGAAAGAUAUUUGAAUUGCUUCCGACUUUCAUGAAGGCAUCGAACACAGAAAAGCAUGUUUGCAAGCUGAUAUUGAGUGGUUUCUCAAAUUAGUCAUCUAAACAUCCGAAAAUUGCAGAAUCAACUCAUCCAAUCAAUCACGCAUACCUAAGCUAAUCAAGCUCAUCUUAAGCUAUUCUAAGGCCAUUCUAACAUCUUAAACAUGUUGAAAUUGUAGAACUCAAACCCUAGGGUGAGCUCUAGCCUUGGUUGUCUAGAACAACCCUGCUUCAUGAAGCUCCGAAUUGAGAAGUUACCUUUGAUACGAUUUCAGCGAUUUGAGCUCAAUCGGACAACAAUCAAGCCUUCAUAGUAACUUGAGGAUGUAAAGGGAGCUUCGUAGGACCUGAGGACCGCCAGAGGAGGGUCGAACGACGUCGGAUCACUGCCAAUCAGCAACUGAUGGGCGAUCCGCUAGGUUGAGGAUCGUUGGUAAAGAAUCAACCAUUGGAGCUCGUCCGGUGGAUAUUCGGCUAAGUCCCGACAACCACAAGGUCGGGGAUUCACUAAUGGACGUCGUUGGGAUGAUCAGAAGGGCUCGAGAGGUCGGCAGAUCGUCAAUCAAGGUUAGAGGAACUAGCGAACUACCUUAUCGGGUCGAUCGCUGGUUUGCUUGACUCGCAGGAAAGAGAACGCCAAAUGGCUAGAUUGGGGACUCGCCAGAGGUUGGGCUAACCACCAGGAGCUUGGGCGAGAUGACAACGUCGCCGAGAGGCUGGGUGGAGACCAUGAAACUACCGACGUAAGGCCGGCAGGUGCCAAAUGGCGAACUGGCAAUAGGCCGAUUUAAGAGAGAGAAUGGGCGUGAAGCAGGAGAGAGAGAGUUUUUAUUAGAGAACUUAUUGGAUUUUCAAAUUUGGAAUUUCAUCAAAUGAGG